RNAcentral lists this long non-coding RNA (1622 nucleotides) under Taeniopygia guttata (zebra finch). RNAcentral describes it as "lncRNA (ENSTGUG00000019524.1)". The record is from RNAcentral. Lineage: Eukaryota; Metazoa; Chordata; Aves; Passeriformes; Estrildidae.
UUGGCCAGCUACCAUCAGAAUUAGCUCAUUGUUCAAUAUAACCAGCGCUGGCAAGCAAAACCCAGCCGGGAGAGGGAACGGGCGGAGGGAGGGGGGGGGAGGGGGGCGGGGGUGAGAGAGAGAGACUUUCCCCCAGCCACCCCCACCCCUUUUUUUCUUUUUUUUUUUUCUCCGAGGCUGCACUUUGGAAGAGGUGCAGUCAUUCUUACCCACACCCCCUACCCUCUCUCCACUCCCCCAACUAUAAAUUCCCUUCUGUAGCAUGCUGCCCUUUUGUAAUCCACAUUUGUGUUUCAGAUCAUGUAGAAAGGACAGAAAGUGAGCAGGGAGCGGGGGCUUUUGUCUAUUGUUCUCCUUGUGCUACUUGAGAGAAACUGCAAUCCCAAGACUUAACAGAACCUAAAAAUGGUUUAUCAGCCAGGUUCAAUGAUUUGGAUAAGCCAGAAUAUCUUUCCAACCAGCCGUGGGGAUGGGGGAUUUCCAAAGGUAAAGUUAUUUAUGUGAUUUCUUUCAUACAAUAGUUUGCUAGGAUGAAAGUUUUUGGGAUGAAAAUUUAAAAUUGAAAACUCAAUGGAUUUUAUUUUACAACCACUUCCAGAAAGUAGGCAGCUCUCCUGAUUUCAUCACGAGUCUCAUGUUGCUCUGUUUUUCUUAAAGCCUUGGCUCCUUGCACCAUGCAGUUAACUGAAGAGCUCGGUUUUCAUUUUAUAAUUAUGUUUUUAGCCUUCAGGCUUGCAGAAAACAUGGACUCUUGCUGGCUGCACACCAGAAGAAAAAUAUACUAAUUUUCAAAGGCUCAUAUUUCUUAAGCUUGUCUCACAAUUUUACAAGCUUGACAUCUAAGUUUUGCAGGCUUAAUUUUGGCAAUGCUUUUCUAGCAAUGCAGAUGAAAAAGUCCAUGAUAAUGCAGCAGGAGGAGCUGGGUGAUAUUGCUUAUGUUUUGUUAAGUAUCUUGCUUGUGGUUACCUGGCUUGAGUGACAAGCAUACAAAGCAUGGCACUUUUCAUGUGAGUUUGACAAGAAGUUCCACAUACAAAGGCAGAAGAUGUGGCUCACCAGACAGCCUUAAUAAGAUUUUAUUCUAUUACCAUUACUGGUGUAAAAAUGUGAAACUGGACAUGAAAUUUCAGUAGUGAAAUAUAACAGAUCACUCAGAACCACAGGAUGUACAUGUUUUAUUUUCAUAUUCCCUUUCAAUUACUUGCUCAAGCAGGUAAGUAAAGAAGGGAACACAUGGAAAAUUUCUUUGAUUAAGUUUCAGUUUCAGGGGUUUUUUUGGUUUUUUUUUUUUUUUUUUUUAAGUUACAUUUUUUUUCCUCUACAAUGGAAUUUCUAAAGUUUAUAGAUGGAGUAUUUGCAGCCUCAUGUGCCAGCCUGCCAGUUUUUCAACUAGCAUAUAUGGCAGCACUGUGAUUCUUAGCAUUCACAGUAUUCCAAAAGUUCAGCUGAGAAAGCUGGUAGCAGUGCCAGAGCAAGAUUAAUGUGCUCUGUAGGGUCAUACUUACACCAAAUGAAUUUGCUAAUUUUAUGAAUCAGCUAUGUGUUAACUAGAUGAUUUUUAUUCAAAAUUUUAAGUUAGAAGCUUUAAGUAAGUUGCCAUUCAUCAUUAAACAAAGUUUCUC